GGGCCUGUGGUCUAGUGGCUACACACCAGCCAACACUCUUGGUUGGAGUGCCACAGAUGAUAUCGCCUCGACACGGCGGGGAUCCCCGGUUCGAAUCCGGGCAGGCCCA
RNAcentral lists this transfer RNA (109 nucleotides) under Nanobdellota archaeon. RNAcentral describes it as "tRNA-Val". It matches the Rfam family "tRNA". From Rfam's summary of the family: Transfer RNA (tRNA) molecules are approximately 80 nucleotides in length. Their secondary structure includes four short double-helical elements and three loops (D, anti-codon, and T loops). The record is from RNAcentral. Lineage: Archaea; Nanobdellati; Nanobdellota.